This 588-nucleotide ribosomal RNA is filed under the name Cortinarius salor. RNAcentral describes it as "partial ribosomal RNA". The stretch from base 257 to 410 matches the Rfam family "5.8S ribosomal RNA". The record is from RNAcentral. Lineage: Eukaryota; Fungi; Basidiomycota; Agaricomycetes; Agaricales; Cortinariaceae.
UUUCCGUAGGUGAACCUGCGGAAGGAUCAUUAUUGAAAUAAACUUGAUAGGUUGUCGCUGGUUUUUUAAACAUGUGCACGCUUGUCAUCUUUAUAUCUCCACCUGUGCACCUUUUGUAGACCCAAGAUAUCUUUCUGAAUGCUCGCAUUCAGGUUUGAGGAUUGACUUACUUUCCUUAUAUUUCUUGGGCCUAUGUUUCUUCAUUAUACCCCAAUGUAUGUUAUAGAAUGUAAUGAAAUGGUUUAUAAACCUAUACAACUUUCAGCAACGGAUCUCUUGGCUCUCGCAUCGAUGAAGAACGCAGCGAAAUGCGAUAAGUAAUGUGAAUUGCAGAAUUCAGUGAAUCAUCGAAUCUUUGAACGCACCUUGCGCUCCUUGGUAUUCCGAGGAGCAUGCCUGUUUGAGUGUCAUUAAUAUAUCAAUCCUUGCUUGUCAAGUGGUUGGAUUUGGGGGUUUCUUUUGUUGGCUGAGGUCAACUCCCCUGAAAUGCAUUAAUUGUUCAUUGGUGUGAUAACUUCAUCUACGCUUAUGACAUAUCUCUUUCAUUAAUGUGACCUCAAAUCAGGUAGGACUACCCGCUGAACUUAA